UCCAUAGGUUAAUGAGGCGAACCGGGGGAACUGAAACAUCUAAGUACCCCGAGGAAAAGAAAUCAACCGAGAUUCCCCCAGUAGCGGCGAGCGAACGGGGAGGAGCCCAGAGCCUGAAUCAGCAUGUGUGUUAGUGGAAGCGUCUGGAAAGGCGCGCGAUACAGGGUGACAGCCCCGUACACAAAAGCGCAUGUGCUGUGAGCUCGAUGAGUAGGGCGGGACACGUGGUAUCCUGUCUGAAUAUGGGGGGACCAUCCUCCAAGGCUAAAUACUCCUGACUGACCGAUAGUGAACCAGUACCGUGAGGGAAAGGCGAAAAGAACCCCGGCGAGGGGAGUGAAAAAGAACCUGAAACCGUGUACGUACAAGCAGUGGGAGCACCCUUCGGGGUGUGACUGCGUACCUUUUGUAUAAUGGGUCAGCGACUUAUAUUCUGUAGCAAGGUUAACCGAAUAGGGGAGCCGGAGGGAAACCGAGUCUUAAUUGGGCGUUAAGUUGCAGGGUAUAGACCCGAAACCCGGUGAUCUAGCCAUGGGCAGGUUGAAGGUUGGGUAACACUAACUGGAGGACCGAACCGACUAAUGUUGAAAAAUUAGCGGAUGACCUGUGGCUGGGGGUGAAAGGCCAAUCAAACCGGGAGAUAGCUGGUUCUCCCCGAAAGCUAUUUAGGUAGCGCCUCGUGAAUUCAUCUCCGGGGGUAGAGCACUGUUUCGGCUAGGGGGCCAUCCCGGCUUACCAACCCGAUGCAAACUGCGAAUACCGGAGAAUGUUAUCACGGGAGACACACGGCGGGUGCUAACGUCCGUCGUGAAGAGGGAAACAACCCAGACCGCCAGCUAAGGUCCCAAAGUCAUGGUUAAGUGGGAAACGAUGUGGGAAGGCCCAGACAGCCAGGAUGUUGGCUUAGAAGCAGCCAUCAUUUAAAGAAAGCGUAAUAGCUCACUGGUCGAGUCGGCCUGCGCGGAAGAUGUAACGGGGCUAAACCAUGCACCGAAGCUGCGGCAGCGAACGUAUCACCCAAGACAACUUUACGGAGUUGACGAUUGACGGAGCGAAGCGACGUCAAAGCGUUCAUUAAAGUCGAGUUGGCUUAGGGAUACGUUCGUUGGGUAGGGGAGCGUUCUGUAAGCCUGUGAAGGUGUGUCGUGAGGCAUGCUGGAGGUAUCAGAAGUGCGAAUGCUGACAUAAGUAACGAUAAAGCGGGUGAAAAGCCCGCUCGCCGGAAGACCAAGGGUUCCUGUCCAACGUUAAUCGGGGCAGGGUGAGUCGACCCCUAAGGCGAGGCCGAAAGGCGUAGUCGAUGGGAAACGGGUUAAUAUUCCCGUACUUGGUGUUACUGCGAAGGGGGGACGGAGAAGGCUAUGUUGGCCGGGCGACGGUUGUCCCGGUUUAAGCGUGUAGGUGUGUGUUCCAGGUAAAUCCGGUUCACUUUAACACUGAGGCGUGACGACGAGGCACUACGGUGCUGAAGCAACAAAUGCCCUGCUUCCA
RNAcentral lists this ribosomal RNA (1491 nucleotides) under Salmonella enterica subsp. enterica serovar Typhimurium. RNAcentral describes it as "partial 23S ribosomal RNA". It matches the Rfam family "Bacterial large subunit ribosomal RNA", at positions 163 to 1610 of the family's 2925-position model. The record is from RNAcentral. Lineage: Bacteria; Pseudomonadati; Pseudomonadota; Gammaproteobacteria; Enterobacterales; Enterobacteriaceae.